UACGAAGGGGGCUAGCGUUGCUCGGAAUUACUGGGCGUAAAGGGAGCGUAGGCGGACAGUUUAGUCAGAGGUGAAAGCCCAGGGCUCAACCUUGGAAUUGCCUUUGAUACUGAUUGUCUUGAGUACGGGAGAGGUGUGUGGAACUCCGAGUGUAGAGGUGAAAUUCGUAGAUAUUCGGAAGAACACCAGUGGCGAAGGCGACACACUGGCCCGUUACUGACGCUGAGGCUCGAAAGCGUGGGGAGCAAACAGG
This 253-nucleotide ribosomal RNA is filed under the name uncultured bacterium. RNAcentral's name for it is "partial 16S ribosomal RNA". It matches the Rfam family "Bacterial small subunit ribosomal RNA", at positions 524 to 776 of the family's 1533-position model. The record is from RNAcentral.